AGCAGCCGCGGUAAUUCCAGCUCCAGUAGCGUAUAUUAAAGUUGUUGCAGUUAAAAAGCUCGUAGUUGAAUUUCGGGAUUGACACAUCGGUCGUGCCUUAAGGGGUAUGAACUGGUGUAGUCAAUUUCUCACCUUCUGGAGAACCGCGAUGCCCUUAAUUGGGUGUCACGGGGAACCAGGACCUUUACUUUGAAAAAAUUAGAGUGUUUAAAGCAGGCAUUUUGCUUGAAUACAUUAGCAUGGAAUAAUAAAAUAGGACGGCAUGAUUCUAUUUUGUUGGUUUCUAGGAUCACCGUAAUGAUUAAUAGGGAUAGUUGGGGGCAUUAGUAUUCAAUUGUCAGAGGUGAAAUUCUUGGAUUUAUUGAAGACUAACUACUGCGAAAGCAUUUGCCAAGGAUGUUUUCAUUAAUCAAGAACGAAAGUUAGGGGAUCGAAGACGAUCAGAUACCGUCGUAGUCUUAACCAUAAACUAUGCCGACUAGGAAUCAGACGAUGUUAAUUUUUUAAUGACUCGUUUGGC
RNAcentral lists this ribosomal RNA (520 nucleotides) under uncultured Entrophospora. RNAcentral describes it as "SSU rRNA". It matches the Rfam family "Eukaryotic small subunit ribosomal RNA", at positions 569 to 1084 of the family's 1831-position model. The record is from RNAcentral. Lineage: Eukaryota; Fungi; Glomeromycota; Glomeromycetes; Entrophosporales; Entrophosporaceae.